GUGUUGUACUACUUUUGGGACAAAUCAUAUCAAAAUUAUAGAAAACUUCAUCGGCUCUAACUCAAAAUAGACAAUUCUAUGUUUAGGGCGUCUUGAAAUCUUUUGACAGCUUCCGAAGUGCUAAUUUUUAACCUUUUUCAGCUGGACCAAAUCACUAAUUUCCUUUAAAAUUCUGGACCCAAAAUUUUUUACAGUGUAAUUUCACCCCCCUACUUGCAAUUUGAGGCAUUAAACAUGGAGAAAUAAAUUUGGAAGGGGUAUAAAAAUUAAUGGCAAGUAACCGACUGUCAAACCUAGGGACUAUAUUCGUGAACAACGAAAAUCAAGGGACGACAAUUGUGGUCUCGGACCAAAUAGA
RNAcentral lists this long non-coding RNA (358 nucleotides) under Mytilus galloprovincialis (Mediterranean mussel). Lineage: Eukaryota; Metazoa; Mollusca; Bivalvia; Mytilida; Mytilidae. The record is from RNAcentral.